RNAcentral lists this ribosomal RNA (432 nucleotides) under uncultured bacterium. Its description in RNAcentral is "partial 16S ribosomal RNA". It matches the Rfam family "Bacterial small subunit ribosomal RNA", at positions 29 to 506 of the family's 1533-position model. The record is from RNAcentral.
AACGAACGCUGGCGGCAUGCCUAACACAUGCAAGUCGAACGAGACCUUCGGGUCUAGUGGCGCACGGGUGCGUAACGCGUGGGAACCUGCCCUUAGGUUCGGAAUAACUCCCCGAAAGGGGUGCUAAUACCGGAUAAUGUCUUCGGACCAAAGAUUUAUCGCCUUUGGAUGGGCCCGCGUUGGAUUAGCUAGUUGGUAGGGUAAAAGCCUACCAAGGCGACGAUCCAUAGCUGGUCUGAGAGGAUGAUCAGCCACACUGGGACUGAGACACGGCCCAGACUCCUCGGGGGGGCAGGAGGGGGGAAAAUUGAACAAGGGGCGAAAGCCUAAUCCAGAAAUGCCGGGGGAGUGAUGAAGGCCUUGGGGUUGUAAAGCUCUUUUACCCGGGAUGAUAAGGACAGUACCGGGAGAAUAAGCUCCGGCUAACCCCGG